RNAcentral lists this ribosomal RNA (466 nucleotides) under uncultured bacterium. RNAcentral describes it as "partial 16S ribosomal RNA". It matches the Rfam family "Bacterial small subunit ribosomal RNA", at positions 339 to 795 of the family's 1533-position model. The record is from RNAcentral.
CUACGGGUUGCUCCAGUGAGGAAUUUUGCGCAAUGGGGGAAACCCUGACGCAGCAACGCCGCGUGAGCGAAGAAGGCCUUCGGGUCGUAAAGCUCUGUCAAGUGGGAAAAAAAUUCUUUGAUGAACAGUCAAAGGACUUGAUGGUACCACUGGAGGAAGCACCGGCUAACUCCGGGUGCCAGCAGCCGCGGUAAUACGGAGGGUGCAAGCGUUGUUCGGAAUUACUGGGCGUAAAGAGCGUGUAGGCGGUUUGACAAGUCAGAUGUGAAAGCCCCGGGCUCAACCCGGGAAGUGCAUUUGAAACUGUUUCACUAGAGUAUGGGAGAGGAGAUUGGAAUUCCUGGUGUAGAGGUGAAAUUCGUAGAUAUCAGGAGGAACACCCGUGGCGAAGGCGAUUCUCUGGACCAAUACUGACGCUGAGACGCGAAAGCGUGGGGAGCAAACAGGAUUAGAUACCCCGGUAGUC